GCUUCUGUGGUCCAAUGGUUAGGAUUCCACCCUUCCAAGGUGGAGGUUCGUGU
Molecule: transfer RNA, 53 nt
Filed under: Pseudogymnoascus sp. VKM F-4517 (FW-2822)
Lineage: Eukaryota; Fungi; Ascomycota; Leotiomycetes; Thelebolales; Thelebolaceae
Rfam family: tRNA
About the family: Transfer RNA (tRNA) molecules are approximately 80 nucleotides in length. Their secondary structure includes four short double-helical elements and three loops (D, anti-codon, and T loops).
Source: Rfam by way of RNAcentral